RNAcentral lists this ribosomal RNA (774 nucleotides) under Trichococcus sp. 93. RNAcentral describes it as "bacterial SSU rRNA". It matches the Rfam family "Bacterial small subunit ribosomal RNA", at positions 64 to 811 of the family's 1533-position model. The record is from RNAcentral. Lineage: Bacteria; Bacillati; Bacillota; Bacilli; Lactobacillales; Carnobacteriaceae.
UCUUUUCUAUGGAAGCUUGCUUCCACUGAGAAGAUAGUGGCGAACGGGUGAGUAACACGUGGGUAACCUGCCCAUAAGAGGGGGAUAACAUCCGGAAACGGGUGCUAAUACCGCAUAGUUUUCUUGAUCGCAUGAUCGAGAAAGGAAAGACGGGCUUUGUGCUGUCGCUUAUGGAUGGACCCGCGGCGUAUUAGUUAGUUGGUGAGGUAACGGCUCACCAAGACGAUGAUACGUAGCCGACCUGAGAGGGUGAUCGGCCACAUUGGGACUGAGACACGGCCCAAACUCCUACGGGAGGCAGCAGUAGGGAAUCUUCCGCAAUGGACGAAAGUCUGACGGAGCAACGCCGCGUGAGUGAAGAAGGUUUUCGGAUCGUAAAACUCUGUUGUCAGAGAAGAACAAGUCGGAGAGUAACUGCUCCGGCCUUGACGGUAUCUGACCAGAAAGCCACGGCUAACUACGUGCCAGCAGCCGCGGUAAUACGUAGGUGGCAAGCGUUGUCCGGAUUUAUUGGGCGUAAAGCGAGCGCAGGCGGUUCCUUAAGUCUGAUGUGAAAGCCCACGCUCAACCGUGGAAGGUCAUUGGAAACUGGGGAACUUGAAUUGCAGAAGAAGAGAGUGGAAUUCCAUGUUUAGCGGUGAAAUGCGUUAAAUUUUAUGGAGGAACACCAGUGGCGAAAGCGAAUCUCUGGUCUUGUAACUUGACGCUUGAGCUCGAAAGCGUGGGGAGCAAACAGGAUUAAAUACCCUGGGUAAUCCCAGCCGUAAAACAAUG